AACGUACGCUGGCGGCACGCCUAACACAUGCAAGUCGAACGAAGUAGCAAUACUUAGUGGCAGACGGGUGAGUAACAUGUGGGUAUCUGCCCUUUGGCCUGGAAUAACACGAGGAAACUUGUGCUAAUACCGGAUAAGUCUUUACGGAGAAAGCUUUAUGCACCAUUGGAUGAGCCCGCACUUGAUUAGUUUGUUGGUAGGGUAAUGGCCUACCAAGACUAUGAUCAAUAGCUGAUUUGAGAGGAUGAUCAGCCACAUUGGGACUGAGACACGGCCCAAACUCCUACGGGAGGCAGCAGUGGGGAAUCUUGCACAAUGGAGGAAACUCUGAUGCAGCGAUGCCGCGUGAGUGAAGAAGGCCUUUGGGUUGUAAAGCUCUUUCGUCGGGGAAGAAAAUGACUGUACCCGAAUAAGAAGGUCCGGCUAACUUCGUGCCAGCAGCCGCGGUAAUACGAAGGGACCUAGCGUAGUUCGGAAUUACUGGGCUUAAAGAGUUCGUAGGUGGUUGAAAAAGUUGGUGGUGAAAUCCCAGAGCUUAACUCUGGAACUGCCAUCAAAACUUUUCAGCUAGAGUUUGAUAGAGGAAAGCAGAAUUUCUAGUGUAGAGGUGAAAUUCGUAGAUAUUAGAAAGAAUACCGAUUGCGAAGGCAGCUUUCUGGAUCAUUACUGACACUGAGGAACGAAAGCAUGGGUAGCGAAGAGGAUUAGAUACCCUCGUAGUCCAUGCCGUAAACGAUGUGUGUUAGACGUUGGAAAUUUAUUUUCAGUGUCGCAGCGAAAGCGAUAAACACACCGCCUGGGGAGUACGACCGCAAGGUUA
This 820-nucleotide ribosomal RNA is filed under the name uncultured marine bacterium. Its description in RNAcentral is "bacterial SSU rRNA". It matches the Rfam family "Bacterial small subunit ribosomal RNA", at positions 28 to 896 of the family's 1533-position model. The record is from RNAcentral.